This 446-nucleotide ribosomal RNA is filed under the name uncultured bacterium. RNAcentral's name for it is "partial 16S ribosomal RNA". It matches the Rfam family "Bacterial small subunit ribosomal RNA", at positions 338 to 795 of the family's 1533-position model. The record is from RNAcentral.
CCUACGGGUGGCAGCAGUCGAGAAUCAUUCACAAUGGGGGAAACCCUGAUGGUGCGACGCCGCGUGGGGGAAUGAAGGUCUUCGGAUUGUAAACCCCUGUCAUGUGGGAGCAAAUUAAAAAGAUAGUACCACAAGAGGAAGAGACGGCUAACUCUGUUCCAGCAGCCGCGGUAAUACAGAGGUCGCAAGCGUUGAUCGGAAUCACUGGGCGUAAGGCGUGCGUAGGCUGUUUCGUAGGGCGUGUGUGAAAGGCGCGGGCUCAACCCGAGGACGGCACAUGAUACUGCGAGACGAGAGUCAUGGAGGGGGAACCGGAAUUCUCGGUGUAGCAGUGAAAUGCGUAGAUAUCGAGAGGAACACUCGUGGCGAAGGCGGGUGCCUGGACAUUAACUGACGCUGAGGCACGAAGGCCAGGGGAGCGAAAGGGAUUAGAUACCCUGGUAGUG